GUGCAAGGCGCAAGAAAGGCGCGUCUAAUAUAUAUUUGAUCCUACUAGGUUUGGAUCUAAAAAUAUAUACUUUAAUGGGUUUGGAUCUUAUAUUUAUUGGUCUAAUGGGUUUAAAACAUAUAAAAUAAACCCAAAACCAAUCUAAUCUAAAGUUCUAAAACCUAAACAUCUAUCCGCUCCAUCUCUCUCUCGCCGAGUCUGCUCCCUCUUCUCUCACUGAGUCCGCUCCCUCUCCCUCUCUCCGCUCGGACCGAUCCUCUCUCCCACUCGUCCAUUACCUCCGGUUGCCUCUGGCUAUCCCCCUCUGCUUUUUCAACUCAACUCGCCUCUCCCUCUAUAUUAAAGCGCGCUUUUUUAAUCACUGCUUUCACAUGAUCAUUAUACUUUUUUAAUAAUUUUUGGUUUGAAACUUUAAACUUUUAU
RNAcentral lists this long non-coding RNA (423 nucleotides) under Ananas comosus (pineapple). RNAcentral describes it as "long non-coding RNA (ACOM_LNC024577)". The record is from RNAcentral. Lineage: Eukaryota; Viridiplantae; Streptophyta; Magnoliopsida; Poales; Bromeliaceae.